AUCAAGGCUGAGGCGUGAUGACGAGGCACUACGGUGCUGAAGCAACAAAUGCCCUGCUUCCAGGAAAAGCCUCUAAGCAUCAGGUAACAUCAAAUCGUACCCCAAACCGACACAGGUGGUCAGGUAGAGAAUACCAAGGCGCUUGAGAGAACUCGGGUGAAGGAACUAGGCAAAAUGGUGCCGUAACUUCGGGAGAAGGCACGCUGAUAUGU
RNAcentral lists this ribosomal RNA (212 nucleotides) under Escherichia sp. S69_ASV_4. RNAcentral describes it as "partial 23S ribosomal RNA". It matches the Rfam family "Bacterial large subunit ribosomal RNA", at positions 1549 to 1759 of the family's 2925-position model. Lineage: Bacteria; Pseudomonadati; Pseudomonadota; Gammaproteobacteria; Enterobacterales; Enterobacteriaceae. The record is from RNAcentral.